This 253-nucleotide ribosomal RNA is filed under the name uncultured bacterium. RNAcentral describes it as "partial 16S ribosomal RNA". It matches the Rfam family "Bacterial small subunit ribosomal RNA", at positions 524 to 776 of the family's 1533-position model. The record is from RNAcentral.
UACGGAGGGGGCUGGCGUUGUUCGGAAUUACUGGGCGUAAAGCGCACGUAGGCGGCUUUGCAAGUUAGAGGUGAAAGCCCGGGGCUCAACUCCGGAAUUGCCUUUAAAACUGCAUCGCUAGAAUUGUGGAGAGGUAAGUGGAAUUCCGAGUGUAGAGGUGAAAUUCGUAGAUAUUCGGAAGAACACCAGUGGCGAAGGCGACUUACUGGACACAUAUUGACGCUGAGGUGCGAAAGCGUGGGGAGCAAACAGG